UACAGAGGUCUCAAGCGUUGUUCGGACUCAUUGGGCGUAAAGGGUGUGUAGGUGGCGCGCUAAGUCGGGUGUGAAAUUUCGGAGCUUAACUCCGAAACUGCAUUCGAUACUGGCGUGCUUGAGGACUGGAGAGGAGACUGGAAUUUACGGUGUAGCAGUGAAAUGCGUAGAUAUCGUAAGGAAGACCAGUGGCGAAGGCGGGUCUCUGGACAGUUCCUGACACUGAGACACGAAGGCCAGGGGAGCAAACGGG
Molecule: ribosomal RNA, 253 nt
Filed under: uncultured bacterium
Lineage: Bacteria
Description: partial 16S ribosomal RNA
Rfam family: Bacterial small subunit ribosomal RNA
Source: RNAcentral